AAACGAGGAACCCUAGCUCCCUUUCUCCUUCCCCUCGACCCCCACGAGCCGCUGCACCCCUCCCUCUCCCUUCCGUGCGUGUGCUCGGCCAAGGACGCCGCCGUCGCCCUCGGCUCCUCCUCCAGCACCUCACCUUUUUCUCCUCCUCGCCUUCCCAACGCUCACGCGCAUGUCGCGCCAUCGGAGAACAGGACAGUGCGGGUCGCUUCCUCCUUUUCCUCCCGCCGGAUCUAAGGCGUGCGGCCGUGGAGGCGAGCCUCUCCGGUGGCGGCGGCAAAGGGCGACCACAUGGAUCGGUCCCUGCAGGAGAGAGAAGAUGGGAGAGAGGGAGAGAAGGAAGGAGAGGAGGGAGGCCCUGCGGCGGACGGGAGAGGGUCACCGACCGCGACGAGGUCAGGUACGACCUGGUGGUUGGUGGCGGCUCGAUCCACUCCUGGAUCCUUCUUCUUCCACUUCCCCACUGCCUAACACCAAGGAAGAGGGCUGGCCGAGGAAGAGGGCGAGGACGCGGGGAUUGAAGAGGGUGUUCCUGCGUUCAUCGCCCGGCCAAGGACGAGGACGACAACGUGGGGUGGAGCAUGUCAUCCCUCUGGUUAUCACCUCCUUUCUGCUACUGGGCGGAGAUGAGGGUUUUCUCCACCGAUUGUGGUGGCCUAAGUCAGAGAUCGACAGCCAGAUGCUUGUGGCUACCACACAAAACGUGCUCUCUUGCUGACCUCGAGGUCCAGACGCAAUGGAUCGUCUCCAAGGUGUUUCUCCGACCAGCAACAACAAAACUCCGCACUUUCUCAAUUGCGCUGUGAUUGGUUCAUGUCCACCAAGGCCGUUGCGUUGGUCGCGGUACUCGGCUUCCUUUGGGUUUGCUUGCUGUCGAGGAAGAAGAAAGGUGUGAACUAUGUGAAAAUGGACAAACCCACUGUCCCAGAUGGUAAUGAAAAAACUGACACCAACUAGCUCACUCUAUAAAUUUUGUCUAGGCUCAAGCUAACUACAUAUCUGCACCACGAUUGCUCACUGGGGAUAUAGAUGUAUGCCUAACAUCAGGUAAUUACCACACCAUAGUAGCUGCUCGCUGGGAAUAUAGAUAUAUAUUUCAUUUUGCAGGUUUGAAACAAGCUGGUUCCUUUAUGUGAAAUUGUUUAUUCAUGAUUUUUUAAUGUAGAAAUCAUUUCAUUAAUUAGUUUUGUAUGGUCCGUGUGAUUCAUGCUGCAAUGAUUUUCUUCAGUCGGUUAAUCGUGUAGUAAUUAGACGGUGUAGUACUAUGGCGGUGGUAUACUGAUAUGGUGUUAGAAUCACUAACAUGGCUUCGUGGGUACAAAUCUUACAAGGUUUAUGAUAUUAAGAAUUAGCAGCGUGUUUUUUUGUUUACUGCGGGAUGAGCUGUUUUUCGUUGUUGAUGGAUAUGCAUGCUUACUGUUCUCCCUUCAAUUGAAGGGCUCUCGAGGCUUAAAAAGUUUCUAGGAUAAUUGCGCCGUUGAAUCUAAAGGUCUAUGAUUGGUUCCUCAACACAUGUAUUGAUAAGAUUUUUUUUAAUCCUCAAUAUGUUGGUGCUUGCCUGACUUGUCCUACAUUUGUGAGGUUGUUGAGGAAGUUCAGUUCUUGCAGGAGGCGUAAAACUUGAGUUGCCAGUUCAACGAAAACUUAGAAUAAAGAAGGAAACUUUCUCAGUUUUUUUUGCUCUUCUCAGAUUUUAGGGUGGGUGUAUUAACAUAUAUGCCAUACACUAACUUUGGAUCUCAAUGUAAGAUUAAAUAGGGAUGAAUCAUAGCGCCAUGUUGAAAAAUUGGAACUACAGAAAAGAAAGGAAAUUAUUAAAGAAGGGACAAAGUUCAUUAGGUUGUUGUGGUGUUUCUUUAUAAAUAAUGACAUUCUAACUUGCUUGUUUAAUUUAGGUGUGUAGGUUAUAGGAGAUACAAGGAGAGAUAUUUCAGUUGCAAUCGAGCUUUCUUUCAAAGUGAAACAUGGUAGAAAUGCAUAGCAUGCAAGGUGUUUUACUCUACAGUUCUGGGACGCUAUGGUGUCAAUUUUGAACUUGCAAAAUGAACUGUAAAAUAUUUUAAUGCCUUGGGGAAUGAAGUUCUCUUUACCUGCUCUCACUACUUCAUAUCUGUUUAUUUAGCAUGUUCUACGAUCUCAUUUGCUGCAUCUUGAUCUUCGGCUUUGCUAUAACUCUUUUUUAAGGGAUUGCUAUAACUCUAUUUUGGUGCUUGAGGUUUGCUUCCUUUUUUGUAGCCACAUGCGUAUUCUUUCUAGCUACAUGCAUGUUUUCAUUUUGCUCAUGGAAUAGUUUAGUUAUAUUCAUUAGUAGCAUCUCUAUGUUAUUAGAUACAAACAUAAUAUGCUUCUUUAGUGAGGCCUUCUCUUCUUUUUUCUGUGAGAAGUGUGCCUUCUCUAAUCUGGCAAUUAUCUUAUUUGUUGUUGCAUAACUAAACUGUAAAAUAUUUUAAUGCCUCUGAACAUAGCCUAAUUUAUCCACAAAAAGAGUUGCCGUGUUUGUUUCUGCUGCCAAGUUGUGCAUCAGCAGGGAACUCAUUCUUCCAGUAGGCUGGAACUGUUGCAUUUGUUUUUGCUGCCAAGUUGUGCAUCAGUGGUUGAGCUCAUUUUUCCAGUAGGCUUGAACUGUCGCGUUUGUUUCUGCUGCCAAGUUGUGCAUCAAUAGUCGAGAUCAUUUUUCUGCUAUUUCUCAGGGACAACCAAGAUCAUGAAUCUGGACUCCGGCUUCCGUGGUAUUUCUGUGUGCCUCGACUUUGGCUCCAUGCUUAUUCAUUAAUUUAGCGAGAUUUAGGACUUCGAAAGUUGUAGCAUGAGUUUUUGGCCAAGACGGCACAUAUGAAAAGUUAGCCAAGGAUGUACGAAAUCUUAUAUUUGUAUUUUCACAUUUUGGAUUCACCAUGUCCAAAUGCAAGC
This 2907-nucleotide ribosomal RNA is filed under the name Triticum aestivum (bread wheat). RNAcentral describes it as "partial small subunit ribosomal RNA". The record is from RNAcentral. Lineage: Eukaryota; Viridiplantae; Streptophyta; Magnoliopsida; Poales; Poaceae.